UGUUUGUUCCAGAUUACAAUGUCAGUGUUGCAGAGUUACUCAUUCCGGGCAGCGAGCUUUCGCAACACAUAAGCACGGCGGGAAUGGAGGCGAGUGGAACGAGCAACAUGAAAUUUGCGAUGAAUGGAUGUAUUCUCAUCGGAACACUGGAUGGAGCCAACGUAGAGAUUCGGGAAGAA
Long non-coding RNA from Tarenaya hassleriana, 179 nucleotides. RefSeq lists it as uncharacterized. The record is from RefSeq and is a predicted model, not a curated record. The transcript is spliced from 2 exons. Lineage: Eukaryota; Viridiplantae; Streptophyta; Magnoliopsida; Brassicales; Cleomaceae.